UCGAGCGAGGUAGCAAUACCUAGCGGCGGACGGGUGAGUAACGCGUGGGAACGUACCCUUUGCUUCGGAAUAGCCCCUGGAAACGGGGAGUAAUACCGGAUGAGCCCUACGGGGGAAAGAUUUAUCGGCAAAGGAUCGGCCCGCGUUGGAUUAGGUAGUUGGUGGGGUAAUGGCCUACCAAGCCGACGAUCCAUAGCUGGUUUGAGAGGAUGAUCAGCCACACUGGGACUGAGACACGGCCCAGACUCCUACGGGAGGCAGCAGUGGGGAAUCUUAGACAAUGGGCGCAAGCCUGAUCUAGCCAUGCCGCGUGAUCGAUGAAGGCCUUAGGGUUGUAAAGAUCUUUCGUGGGGGAAGAUAAUGACGGUACCCCAAGAAGAAGCCCCGGCUAACUCCGUGCCAGCAGCCGCGGUAAUACGGAGGGGGCUAGCGUUAUUCGGAAUUACUGGGCGUAGAGCGCACGUAGGCGGAUUGAAAAGUCAGAGGUGAAAUCCCAGAGCUCAACUUUGGAACUGCCUUUGAAACUCUCAGUCUUGAGGUCGAGAGAGGUGAGUGGAAUUCCGAGUGUAGAGGUGAAAUUCGUAGAUAUUCGGAGGAACACCAGUGGCGAAGGCGGCUCACUGGCUCGAUACUGACGCUGAGGUGCGAAAGCGUGGGGAGCAAACAGG
Molecule: ribosomal RNA, 668 nt
Filed under: uncultured Alphaproteobacteria bacterium
Lineage: Bacteria; Pseudomonadati; Pseudomonadota; Alphaproteobacteria
Description: bacterial SSU rRNA
Rfam family: Bacterial small subunit ribosomal RNA
Source: RNAcentral